CAAAAGCUGAAGUCAAGUUGUACUGAUACGCAUCUGGUACUUAAAUAAGUGCUGAACUUUUUAUGACAGCAACACGUAGACACAGAUUCCUUUGAAUAGAAGGAUAUGACAGGUGAUAUCGGACUCCAGGGAAGUCCCAGCUGUGCCAUUGUACCCUUCAUGAGUAAGCAGUGCUGGGGCUGUGCAACUAUCAUCCCUCACCCUUUUGGGCCUGAUGAUUGCUGCCCAGGAGCAGAGCAAGCUUCCUCCCCACUGGGAAACAAUCUGCGCAGAGUUAGUGAUGGGAUAUUCUGGUCAGAGGAAAUCGCACCACAGGAAAUCUCAUCAGAGUGACCACUAUCAGUCAUGGCACAUGCAGUCAGGACUGGAGCCCUUAAUUCUGCACAUUGCCAUUCUCCAGUGAAGGCUGGAUUUGGUCACUGGGUUCAGCGGGAGCCAGACCAAGCCUCAGACCACUGAAGAAGUGAAUGAAAGAGAGUAAUCACAGGAAGACUUUGCAGAUGAGGUUUGAUUGUCUUGCUGAAUCUAGGGAUGUGUAAGGCAUUGUUCUGGGACAGGAUCUGCAA
This 566-nucleotide long non-coding RNA is filed under the name Apteryx rowi (Okarito brown kiwi). RNAcentral describes it as "lncRNA (ENSARWG00000001250.1)". The record is from RNAcentral. Lineage: Eukaryota; Metazoa; Chordata; Aves; Apterygiformes; Apterygidae.